RNAcentral lists this ribosomal RNA (754 nucleotides) under uncultured Acinetobacter sp. RNAcentral's name for it is "bacterial SSU rRNA". It matches the Rfam family "Bacterial small subunit ribosomal RNA", at positions 28 to 776 of the family's 1533-position model. Lineage: Bacteria; Pseudomonadati; Pseudomonadota; Gammaproteobacteria; Moraxellales; Moraxellaceae. The record is from RNAcentral.
AUUGAACGCUGGCGGCAGGCUUAACACAUGCAAGUCGAGCGGGGAAGGGUAGCUUGCUACCUGACCUAGCGGCGGACGGGUGAGUAAUGCUUAGGAAUCUGCCUAUUAGUGGGGGACAACAUUCCGAAAGGAAUGCUAAUACCGCAUACGCCCUACGGGGGAAAGCAGGGGAUCUUCGGACCUUGCGCUAAUAGAUGAGCCUAAGUCAGAUUAGCUAGUUGGUGGGGUAAAGGCCUACCAAGGCGACGAUCUGUAGCGGGUCUGAGAGGAUGAUCCGCCACACUGGGACUGAGACACGGCCCAGACUCCUACGGGAGGCAGCAGUGGGGAAUAUUGGACAAUGGGCGCAAGCCUGAUCCAGCCAUGCCGCGUGUGUGAAGAAGGCCUUUUGGUUGCAAAGCACUUUAAGCGAGGAGGAGGCUACUUGGAUUAAUACUCUAGGAUAGUGGACGUUACUCGCAGAAUAAGCACCGGCUAACUCUGUGCCAGCAGCCGCGGUAAUACAGAGGGUGCGAGCGUUAAUCGGAUUUACUGGGCGUAAAGCGUGCGUAGGCGGCUUUUUAAGUCGGAUGUGAAAUCCCUGAGCUUAACUUAGGAAUUGCAUUUGAUACUGGGAAGCUAGAGUAUGGGAGAGGAUGGUAGAAUUCCAGGUGUAGCGGUGAAAUGCGUAGAGAUCUGGAGGAAUACCGAUGGCGAAGGCAGCCAUCUGGCCUAAUACUGACGCUGAGGUACGAAAGCGUGGGGAGCAAACAGG